CCUUGAUAAAACGCAAGGAGAUCCUAUAAUGUCUGUCGGACGAUGAACAAGUUGAACACAUGUUUUGUACUUGCCAUACCAAGUGAGAACUAAAUAUUCCUCCAACUCAGAACAAUGAAAAUACAGUUUCUUAGUUAAAUCCAGCUACAUGAAUCCAAAAUCUAAAUAAAUAAAUAAAUAAAUAAAGUGUAUACAAGUAAUUGAAAAGUUAAUAGAGUCAUAAUUGAGUAUUCUUGAAAGUUGAGAUUCUAGUAUUAAUAUUAUUACAGUUGAUUUAAUUUUGUAGGUGAGUGAUUUGAAAUAGAGAUUUAAUUAGCUUUAAAAGCCAUAGUGUGUUCUCCCAUGCUACACACUAUGCUGUAUUGAUCUCUCUCUCUGAAAGAGUCUUAAAACACCGACUCACUCACUAUUGUAUAAAGCAAUGAAUGAAAAGAAAGGCCCUCACACUGAACUUUUGUAAUUGCAAUAUUUACUCCAAAUUUCCUCAUUCUGCAUACUUCUUGGGAUUUUUCCAAACAAUUAAUACAUUUCCUGGCCACAAUUUACACUCUUUCUUCUACCCAACAAUUCAAUUCAAUUCAAUUCAGCUCUAUCAUCAACACUUUCUCUCUCUAAUUCACUCACCCUAUACCCUCUUCUCUCCACCUCUCUCACUCAAUUUAAUUAAGCUUUAAAUCACCCCCCCUCCCCCCUUCAAUUUUUCUUAUAUAAAAUGGCCUACUUGUUCCAACCACUCAUCACAGCUCACUUUCUUGCUGCCGGAGCUCUCCUUUAGCAACACUUUCCUCUUUCAUUCUUCUUUCUCUUAAGGUAAAAUACUUUUGCAGAAAGAAAGGGGGGCAAAAACAAUGAGUCGAAGAAAUGGAAGUGGUCCAAAGCUUGACUUGAAACUCAACUUAUCUCCACCAAGGGUUGACCACAGAAGAGUCCAGUCGUCAUCACCAACAAGAUCAGCUACUGUUUCGCCAACAUCACCACCGAGCUCGUGUGUGUCCACUGAGCUAAACCAAGAAGAUGGAACCAACCUGCAGAGAUACUCAAACAGCCCUGAAGCCACUUCCAUGGUUUUAGUUGGUUGUCCUCGCUGCCUUAUGUAUGUCAUGCUUUCUGAAGAUGAUCCAAAGUGUCCCAAAUGCAAGAGCACUGUUUUGCUUGAUUUUGUCCAUGAAAACAACAAAAGAAGGAAUUAAGUGCAUGUUUGGAAAUACGGUGAGUUUAACGAAAUCACGUUCACUCUGUCGUUUUGUUGAUCCAACCAAAAUUACAAGUAACAUGCUGUGUUUAUAUAAAAAAGAAAAAUAAACUCACCGUCGAUUCAAACAUGCACUGCCUGUAGGCUACCACCCUGUUGCCAGUUCUGCAUUCUCUGCUGCUAGUAGGACAUGUUAGCAUUUAACCUAGGAAUCUCCAUUUCAAUAUGUUUCUUUUCUAUUAGUAUUAAUCCUCGUUUAUGUUUUUUUUUAACCUUUUCCAUGAAUAGUUCUACUUGCACUCCACUUUUUGCCUUUCUUACAUCUACCUGUAAGGAAAAUAUCACAAAAUCUUGCUAAAGCAAGAAAAGCAGAUAGAUAAGAGUGGAGCGUAAAUAGCACUAUUCAAGUAUUUAUAUAUAGAAUCUAGAAGAAAAGCUAGUCAGAAAUUGGGAAUGGUAGGGAAAUCUAUGUAACUCUAUAUGGGAUUGGGUUCAGCUUUUCUGCUUUUUAGCAGCAAUGUAAUAGGACUCAACCUCUUCUGGUGUCAUUUUAGUAUGUUUAUUGAAAUUUUAGGUGGAAUCAACUUUUGUAUUA
Molecule: long non-coding RNA, 1787 nt
Organism: Lathyrus oleraceus (garden pea)
Lineage: Eukaryota; Viridiplantae; Streptophyta; Magnoliopsida; Fabales; Fabaceae
Exons: 2
Source: RefSeq, a predicted model, not a curated record